CCUACGGGAGGCAGCAGUGAGGAAUAUUGGUCAAUGGGCGUAAGUCUGAACCAGCCAAGUCGCGUGAGGGAUGAAGGUUCUAUGGAUUGUAAACCUCUUUUAUAAGGGAAUAAAGUGAGGGACGUGUCCCGUUUUGUAUGUACCUUAUGAAUAAGGAUCGGCUAACUCCGUGCCAGCAGCCGCGGUAAUACGGAGGAUUCGAGCGUUAUCCGGAUUUAUUGGGUUUAAAGGGUGCGUAGGCGGCCUUCUAAGUCAGCGGUUAAAGUCGGUGGCUCAACCAUAGCAUUGCCGUUGAAACUGGGUUGCUUGAGUGUGUUUGAGGUAGGCGGAAUGCGUGGUGUAGCGGUGAAAUGCAUAGAUAUCACGCAGAACCCCGAUUGCGAAGGCAGCCUGCC
RNAcentral lists this ribosomal RNA (395 nucleotides) under uncultured bacterium. Its description in RNAcentral is "partial 16S ribosomal RNA". It matches the Rfam family "Bacterial small subunit ribosomal RNA", at positions 338 to 730 of the family's 1533-position model. The record is from RNAcentral.